UACAUUGGGAGUUUGUAGGCUUAUCGUGCACUGAGGGGCAGUGAACUGGCCAUUGUGUGGAUAAAUAUCAAAUGGCCAGCUACACCACUGGAUCUAAUGAUUUUGCUACAAGUGUGUGAAUACACUCUCCACUCUAAUGCCACUCUAACUUCAGCAAUUCUACCACUCUGGUAGAUUUGAGAUGAAGACUACAAAAUCUGGUUGAAUGAAGCAAUGCUGCAGUCAUCAUUUAAGUGUUGUGAGCAAUGGUUUAACAUUGAAAUUAGACUUCAAUAUGGGCACUAAAAAGCAUGGGGAAUGUAGCAAUACUGUCUGAUCCAAGCUGUCCAUGGUGUAGACUAGUACUGCACUGAAGUGUAUUGACCUGACUUUUGCGCUAGAACCAUGACCUUCUAUCAGCCAGCUCGUGGGGCUUCUGUUUGAUCAGAAAAUGGACAUUGACCUGUCGGCUGAUUCAGAUUGGCUUGUGCCUCACACACCCCUUGUUACUCCCACAAAUCACUAGGUCUGAAUGAGAUGGGCUACCCCAGCUCUUACAAAACCUUGGCACUGGGCCCUGCUGGUAUCUGUGAUAAUGAGGAGUACUUACGCAUACAUUAGUUACGCAUACCUUCAUCUAUUUAACCUAUCGGGAAGGAACACUAGUGUAAUCUGAAACAAUACAGCAUAGCCUACGUUAUUUUAAAAAAUAGCUCACCUAUCUAAUUCUCUUUGUAUUUGAUUUUAUUCGUGUUUUGCCAAAGUUACUGUCUUGAGCAAUGAUUGCAGUGAAUGCAGCACUCAACAUCUGGCAUGAAGGGUGAAUGAACGGCCUCCUCCAAGACCACUCUGAAGACUGGCUGACAAGAAUUGCUUGGGAAGAAAUGAGUGCCACCACUCCCACCAUCUCCUCCCAGUGGCCAACAAGCCUCCUUUGCUAUGGGCUGAACUGCCCUGACCUGGCAGUAUGAGACCUGAAGCUAUUCCAGAACUCAUGCCUUGUCACUGUGGUGUCCUUGCUACUAAUCCCUACAUCUAGCUGGCUGACCUUCAGCUUUCUCAUGCCGUUAUCUGUUGUGUAAUGAACUAGAAUCAGGAUUCUUAUCCUAAUAUAUAAAUAUUACCUCACUGAUGCUUCAAAUGAUGCUACUGGUUUGGAACUAAAGGGUAUGUGUCAUUCAGAUAUUUUUUGCACCAGUUUCCUGUGUGGACCAUUAAUUGGGAACAGAUUUGCAAGAAUACUUUUAUUUCACUCUUCCCUUCUGGUCUUGUCUACCCUGGGUAUAUUCCUUGAUCACAUCCAUCGAGUUCCAUUCACCAGUUUAAUAUCACUGAGACCAAUCCCAAGCAUAGGCAGCCAAAAUUUCUCUUUGCCCCAGGUGGGCCUACCCCAGUUUUAAGCAGUGAUAAGCAAAUUGUGGCUUAGUGUGUCUACACAUGGGGUGCCCAUUGGUGGCCACCACUGACUGUAAUCAGGGCAAAUCCCUAGGAUAGACAAGACCUUAGUUUUUCUGGUGGGAGGGGCUUUCAGGGCAUUGUUAUGUACUUGUUGAUUUUAUGGGCAUUAUAUUUAUCAGCCACCUUUCUGCUUUAUAUUCUCACCCUAUUAGGCUCCAACCACUGCCUAUGCCCUUCAGUAAGAAGGGUGGAAUACUGCAAUGUCUCAUAACUAUGGUUUCAGCAAGCAUGUGUGAAAAUGUCAUUAGAAAGACUUCUCUGCAACAAGAUGGCUGCAUAGAGAACUGUGGGAGUCAGUAUCUACCACGAUCUGAGCCUUUUAGGCUUCCUGUGGACCAGGUCUAGCAAAAGCUGACAACCGUUCUGUUUUGUGGAAACUUGUGAGGUUUAGAAAUCUGUUUUCCUUCCAUAUUGGAACAAAAUCAACCCCGUUAGAACAUUGUCCCAGAAAUGGAAUUGUGUCAAAAUGUCUGGUUUUGGAUCGAAACCUGAGCUAUUUGAGAAGCAAAUGUGCGUGGAUGCGUGCAUGCACGCUCUUUCUCGUUGAAACCCAUAUGUCUCUGUGAAACAGCAUAUUUCGCCAAAAUUUCAUUUAGUCAAAAAUGUCCCGACCAGCUCUAGUUCUUGCUGUUCCUAUGUCUGCUUUGCUGUGUAGUGUCACUGAUGUGGCAAAAAAGCUCUCAGGCUGUUAGUGCAUGACUUAAUAAAUAUCCACAUUAGACAAAACAACUAUUUAUUAUGCAUACAAACAAACAUACAAUGGCAUACUUUCCUCUCCUCCCCUCUAACCAGUACUCCCAUUCCAUAAAUGUGAAUGGUGAAAGCCCACCCCAGAUCAUCGGAGACUGCAACAAUGUUACACAAGCUGUCUUUUCCCCCAAGUCUAAAUAUUUUCCAACUUCUAUUACAUACUAUUGUCUCCAUGCUGUAAACUCUUGCCAGAACUCCCCCAACAGCAUUCUUCACUGACUUUGCAAAUCAUUUAGACAGCAAACAAACCUUUUAAAGAGUCAUUGAUUUCUGCAAGAAAGCAUUUAUGUUUAUUAUAUAUGAAAUAAAAACAACUAGAAUGCACAUUUUACAACUCACAGAUCUCCAGUGAAAGCCAUAAACAAAACCUCCUGUGACAGGUCAACACUUUAUUCUCUUCUAUGCAUUAAAUUUGGGAAUAAUACUUCUUACCUUCCAGAGCAACCAGGACACCCCUCUGUGUAUAAAGCAGUUUUAGCUGCUACCAACUCUACAUAACUUCACCUACACCUGGGAAUCACUGAAUUCUCAGCUGACUUAAUUCUUUAUCACUUCUCCAUUUGCCAGUUGUCCCCUCAAUUUUCUAUGGUAUAGCUCUUCUAUAUUUCUGCAUACAUAUUCUGUAUGGUAAGGUCACCACUUUAUACAACUAGCAAUGUACUGUCCUACUGUUUGCUAUUUGUCUUUUGACCCUCCUCCUAUUUGUUGAUGGCAUUCUAAGAGGAGACGUAUAAUCUAGUGGCUAAAGCACCAGGACUGGUGUCGCUAGAUUUGGGUACUAGUCCUGACUGUGAAACAGUGAUGUUGUGUAAUUUUGGGCAAGCAGGUGAGCCACUUAAGCCUGCACCUUCAAAAAUUGUUUCUGAUUUUGGGUUGUUUCCAUUUUUGGGCCCUCAGCUUGUUCCUACUCUCACUUAGAAGAGUGCAGAUCCCUUGACUGCUGUGCAGUUGCUCCUGAUUUACACUGGGGUUGAAGAGAAUUAGGCACCCGGCCUCCGAUUUCCCAUGGAAAAUGGACUUCAAGUGGAGUUGCAGCAGGUGUCCAUUUGAUGGCAAGUACUUCAGUGGCAUGACCUCAGGCAUCAGCAGUGACAGUACACAUUUAUAACUGCAUUAUUUAACUCUGCCAAGUAUUUUCAGGACACAGGUAGCAUAAGGACAUCAUAUGAACCAUAGCUGUAUUUAUGCAAUCCAACUUUGACUGAGGAAGGAGAAGAACAUACUCUGUUGGCAAGAAUGCAGCCCCAGGAGUAGUUGUGGACAACUUUCCCCUUUUCUGAGUUUCCAUUAUCAUUGACAUUUUUCAGACUCAGACUUUGUUAGAGACGAAUUUCCUAAGGGUAUGAGCUGGGAAGAUGACAUUUCAUUGACAUACAGGAUGUAUAAAACGCCAAAGAAAGAGUGAGGUAAAUUACAAGGUUGUUUUGAUAACUUAUUGAGGUAGCAGAAGUAGCUUGCUGUGCUGUAAUGAAAAGACAGGAAGUUGUGGUUAAGGCAUAGGGUUGGGAAUCUGUCCUAUACCCAGCCCUACCACAAACUUCCUGUGUUACUUUGACAAUGUUUUUCUAAUGUACCCACUAAUUUUGGAUGCCCAACGAGGGCCCGAUUUUCAGAGAUGCUGAAAACAACAGAAUCGGGGCUGCUCUCAAAAUCAGUGGCCAAGGUGUGGCAAGGAAGGCACUCAAAAUUAAUGGGAGCUUUUGAAAAUAACAGUCUAAGCAUGUGUGUCUGCCUCAGUUUCUCUUUCUUUAAAAGGCAGAUAUUAAUACUGCCUCUUAGUGAUCUUAAGAAAGAUGACUUCAUUAAUGUGUGUGGGAUGCUAAGUUACUAAAGUGAGGAGUCCCAUAGAAAUGCCUAUAAAUGACCAAUCUUAAUUAAAUGUAAUGGAUGUCCAAGACUUUUUAAAUAAAAAUGUUUCUUUUACAUUG
Non-coding RNA from Chrysemys picta bellii (western painted turtle), 4115 nucleotides. The record is from RefSeq and is a predicted model, not a curated record. Lineage: Eukaryota; Metazoa; Chordata; Testudines; Emydidae.